UUGGGUUUUUUCCCCCCUCCUUUGCAUUAAUUUGUUUUGCUUCUAAAAUGGAAUGUAACAACUGUUUAGUAGUUCAUAGCUCAUUUAUUCACCUUUUUCACCUUUGUUGCUCGACAUUUUAGUUCUCCUUAUUUAAAUGAGCAUUAUGUGCUGGGAUUUUAGCAUUAAAUAAAUGCUUUUCUGCCCAGUUUCACCUCUUACAAAUUCCAAACUCAUGAAAUAUAUUAUAAACAAAGACCUACAAUAGAACAUAUAAAGCAGCACUUAGAAAUGCAGUUUGCCAGUGAUGGAUUAGGGAUUUACAUUCCCAAACUACCAAAUACAGUGGUCUCCUUGACCACCCAGCUACGCUGAUUUAUUCGCAGUGACAGAUUAAGCAGUCUUCAUCAUUACAUAUCAUUAGUGGAAAUCAAAGUCAUGUCAGAUAUUGAUGGUAAUACCUUUCAAAGGUACAUUACUGGCCAAGCUUUAUGAGCAGCUUUCACAUUAAUUAUUCAGUGAGCAACAAUGCUUAAAAUAUAUGCAUAUAUAUACUCUUGGAUCCUUGGACUAUAUUCAUCACUGAUGAUUUUGGAGGAAUGGAAAAUAAACUCAAACUUGAAGUUAACCUGUACCUGGAAGCAGCAAGUUCAGGCUUCUCAAUUUAUAGAUUUACUAUUUUAAGUCAAUUGCAUUAAAGUGCAGUAAGACAUCUCAAUUGCAAAAGCAAAACCUCCUAUCUAAUAUAUAUCUAUCUAUAUAUAUCUAUAUGUCUAAAUUCUAGCAUUAAACACAACUCUUUUUCUGUAUGCUGAAAACCUAUUCAAAUUACUGAUCAAAAAAAAAAAAGUAUUAAACUUCCAUCUAAAGGCAUGCAGUUAUUCUGGGUUAUGUUAUUGUAUGUUAUCAAUAUGCUAUUGAUUAAAACUAAUCUAUUAUAGGUACAGAACAAUCCAGUGUUGAUGCUUAUUUUAAAAUCAAGAAGAGAUGAAAGCAAUUUCCAUAGCCCAUUUUAAACUUUCACUCAAAACAUGUAGGUUAAUGGAAGUUAAUAUAAACAGCAUGGAACAGAAGGACUAAAAUCUGAUGAGAAACAAUCAGAAUAAUUUGGUCUGCCAGCUGAAAGGAUACACAUGUACGACUAAAUUGAACUUUGUUUAUGCCUUUUGAUUUUCAAGACUUCUCUAGCAUGAUUACCCUAUCUCCAGUUCUUUCAAGGGGAAAACUCCUCCCUCUUUCUGAAUCUGCUUCUAAAUCAACUUUUUAAAUACUGUUUUUACAAUAUUAGGUAUGUCACACUAUUUAGUUUCUGCUCUAAACAUCUGCAAAGAGAAUGUACCUCCCACAACUCCUGGCCUGCCCCUGACUUUCUCUACAUCUGCUACUAUUAUUUUUAUAGUCUCUGAUUUGUUCUUGCCAUUUUUUGAUGUAAACAAGAGUAGGGGAAGCCCCUUUUUGUUUCUCCUCUUAUAUACCUUUGAGAAAUGAGAUUAUAAUUACAGUGCCAAGCAAUUUAUGCAGCUGCAAGUAGUAUUCCUGGGCACUUCAAAGAGUUCUUGACCAAAAAGAAAUCUCAGAUGCUUUAAAAAAAUAAGAAUUUUCACUAUGAAAGGAAUUAAAAUGAAACAUUACCUAAGUAGGGGUGUACAGUAAAGGAUGAGAUUAAACACAGGAAAAUAGCAAGGCCUCCAUAAGCAGCCUGCAUUAUGCUUGUGUUUAUGUUAAAAAAACCUGCAGUACUUUUUACCCUUAAGGGCUUGUUUCAUUUUGUACACAAAUUACAUCCACUCUGCGAGACACCAUUUAUAAUGGCAGAGUGGAUGUAAUGGCAGACAAUCAGAUCAGACACGACACUCAAGGGUCUCUAUAAACUUCACAUUUAAAAAGCAACAUGUCAGUAGAUUUGGCUACUACAGGUUUCCCCCAUCAUUUAAUUCCCAUUUAUCUUAAAUUGGUAAAUGGCUUAAAAGUCGCUGUACACAGUCACUCACAUAACCAUACCACACAUGCAAUGAAUGGUCCAAGUCUCUGGUGAUUUUAGGAAAUCACCUCAAAAAAUCUGCUUUUGUGCCACUUUGUAGUCCAGGGAAUAGACUUCACAUUAGAAAGUUGGUUUUUUUUACAAGCUUCCCAAAUAAAAUUUUUGAGACACAAAAAUGGUGAAAACUUUAGUUCAACAGGUUUAUUUUGAUGCAGCGAUGAGGACAGCAGUGGUUUGUUAUACACUGUGUUGAAAAAGAAAAAACCCACAGUACUUGAUAGCACAGAGUUAUCAGAAGUUACUUAAUUAUCAUACAUAAAAAUUGUUUUUCAGAAGUAAGAUUGCAAAUCACUCCAAGUUGUGCUUGAGCACAUUUUGCACAGUAAGAUUAGUAUAAAACAAAUUAUCCUGAAAAAUAAUUAUAUUAUUCAGUAAUUUUUUUACAGUUCCCUUUUUGAAUCUUCAUGUUGAGCCUCCACUUAUCCACGUUUUUUAUUAAGAAAAUGGAUACCUAAUCUAAUAAUAACCCCAGACACGAGCAGCUUCAUGAAUUGUAAAAGUUAAAACUGGAAGAAUUAUAUCUCUCAUAAAUCAGAGCUCCUCUAUUAACAUCAGGAAAAUAUUGUGGAAAUUUCCAGCCCUAUCAAGUACUGCCCUGAAAGAAACCAGACCUUUGAUGUGACUAGCACAGGCUGCCCUCAAGACCAUCAGGAAGAAGAAUUAGUUUCAGAUAGGGAAAGACGUGGGCCAGUAACAGCGCCUCGAGUUUCAGCAGGAAUGAAAGCUCAGCCACAGGGACAAGUGAUGGGGCAGUGCUAGGGAGCACAAGGAAAAUUCAUGGAACUAUCCUAAAAGUGGCUGCAAAUGAAAGGAAUCUGAUUGUUCAGAGCAGGGAAAGCAAGUUCUGCUGUCAGUCAUUCCAAGGGAUCCCUGGAGCUGGACAAAGGGAGUCCCUUUCUGUGGAGGUUUUACAAAGGUGCUCACAGCCAUCUCUCCUGCAGUGGCUGAAGCCAGUGAAGGACAUCAGUGCUUAAUGGACACAAAUAAAUCUAGCAGAAUAUGUAGCUACAACAUCUGUCAAAACAUACAAACUAAAACCUAGCAAAACUCACUAUUAAAUUGGCAAACUUCCUUGAUUUUGGUGGGUUUUUUGGAAGGAUAUGGCAUGUAAAUUUGUAGCCAGAGAUUCUAAUAAAUUUUUUACUCUUCCAGCAUUUGUUUUAUCAGGUUUACAAUUAGUUUAUUAUGUACCAAUAGUCUGUAUCCAGCAGAGAAUCACUGUCCAUGUUGCCCCUUUAAUACACUUCAUGACUGGGACAUGGAAACUGAGGCUAACUUUUGUCUGCUGCAGCAUUACAAAAUAAUAACUCAAUUUGAGAUGCAGUUCCCAACAAUUCAAACUGGCCAGUAAAGCACACACAGUAAGGCUCUAGAAACCAAGGGAUCUUGGGUUGUAUUGUCAAUGUCUAAAUCUACAGAAUGGCAAACACAUUUUCCCACAUCACAAAGCACAUUUUGAGAGCUGACUAGCUCAAAGUUUGGAGUGGGUUUAUUUUUCAUCUUUCUUAAUUAUGCGGUUCUGUCAAUCACAUAAAAUUCCCUCAAAAUAAUGACCGUAAAGAAAUAGAGUCAUUACUAAUCAUUGAAUGAUCACAGGCAAAUCAAACCCCAGCAGCAGUAUCUGACAGCUCCCAGGGGAUACAAGUGCUGUCAGUCCAGAACCUGCCACAUUAAGAAAUCCCUUAGCUGAGCUGUUGUACCAGUUAAGAGCUGAAAGGUGCACAGAGCUGUAAGGAAACAAGUGGAAGAGUCUCCUGCAGAAAGUUUGCAGCAGCUGCUUUUUCACCUUGGACAAGAAUAUCUUUGGCUAGAAACAGUCCUGGUAUGGGACCUAUACAUGGACAGCAUUGCAUAACUCUUUUACUACCCAGUGCUCUAUCCAUGAUCAAUGUGAAUUGUUGGUGCUCUGCCCCAGUUCCUGUGCAGUCAGACCCCCUCUCUCACUUUGGUUCCAUGCCACAGGCCCAGCUGCAGUAUUUAGUAUAUCCAGGUAUGCCACACACAUGGAACUUCUCAGUUUUCCCAAGGCCAAGACAAACUCAGUUACUCUUUAAAAGAAAUAUUCUUCAAAAAUAUCAGUUAACUUCUUAGUCGCAGCUGACACAUGAAAGUCUCCACAACACUAAUAAGCUUGAAAGAAUUUAUACAACAAAGGCUUAGGGGUGACAUACCCAGUACCUGAAGGGAGUCUGCAAGAAAAAUGGCGAUUGUUUACAAGAAAAUGGAGAGAGAGGACAAGGGGGAAUGGAUCCAAACUGACAGAGAGUAGGUUUACAUCAGAUAUUAGGAAAAAAUUAUUUACUGUGAGGGUGGCACUGAAAUCAGCUGUCUGGAGAUGCUGUGGACGACCCAGCCCUGGAACUGUUCAAGGUCAGGCUGGAUAGGGCUCUGAGCAACCCAGACUAGGGGCAAGUGUCCCUGUCCAUGACAGGAGGUUGGAACUGGAUGAUUGUUAAGGUCCUUUCCAACCCAAAACCUUCCAUGGAUGACUGACUCUGUGCAUUGAUGAAACCAAAACUUAUUUCAGGUGAAAAAGUAGGUGCAAAAGCAGGAACCUCUCACAGGAGAGGUGUGAGUAUCAGUGAAACAAUUUGGACUGGUGGAGAUGAGCACCUACGAACAUAAGAAACGCAGGCAGUGCUUAACUCUCAAGUACUAGAUUAGUUCUCUGAGGAAGAAAAGGAAACUGCACUUGGCCAAAGGAAAGAGAGAGUUAUAGAGAAAAAGACUAUAAUGUAUCCUACAAGGCUGGAAAAGUAAUACUGGAAAAUAAGGAGCUUCUUCUUGUACCUCACAGCAACAAUUAAAAGGUAUUUGAACUUGAUUAGAGUGGUCUAUUCUUCAUUAGUAUUAGAAUAAAGACAACACUGCACUCCCAGAACUUCAGAUUGAAGGGAACACAAACUGCUCAGUAUCAAAUAUAAGGAUAAAAAAGGCUUAUGAAAAUGAUCCAAAAAGCUAACAGUGCACCUUUCAGAAGCAUAAGUAAUAUAUUCAUGUCUCUGAAAGAACAAAAAUAUUUGUUUGUAAUGCCCUUGGUACAGCCCAAUAUAACAAGCCCUGACAGAUCAGCAUUUAUUUUGCUGACCAUUGGGUGUCCAAAUUCUUCUCCUGCAAUUAGUUCUAGUGGAUUGAAGAGAAAAUACUACACAGUUCUGCCAGUCACAAGCAAAGUCUGUAACACAGCACCAGGCAAUCAAGUCCUUCUCAGGACUGACAAUAUUUUUCCAUCUAGCAGCAUCAGGACACUGUUGCAGAAAGGCUCUCACUUCCCUCUUCAUCCAAAUUAGUUUUACAUCAACAGUUCCUACUUUCCUGCUGUCAACUACUCAAUGAUGAAUUGAUAAUGCAUUUCGAUGAAGGACAGUGUAUACAUAUAAUAAAAAAAAUAUUGAUGUGGCUUCCAUAAUUCAUUAUAAAGUUUUUAUUCUUUUUAUUCAGUUUGGAGACUUUCACGAGCCAUUAGCUGGAUUUCCAUUUCAAGAAUAAAUUCAUGGUUCACAUAGAUGUUAUUUCAAAAUCAAAAGCUUGCUGACGAUACUGGGUAUAGUGCAUGUGAAAGUGCAUUGCUAGGGUUUGGGGGGUUAUUGGUUUGGUUUUUGGUUUUUUUAACUACCAUAGCAAUGAUGACAAGUCACCCAAGGCUUCUCAUUUUUGUGCAACAUGCAUCAUUCUUUUAAAAAAGUGCAAUAGUGCAGGUGUGCAAGUAAUAAGAUCUUAUAAAGGAAAAACAUUCUUGCUCGUAAAGUAAAAUGAUCAAACAGCAACUUAGUCUUGUUGGAUUCUGAUAAAAAUGGGCUAUGUGAGACCAAACCAAGACUUAUUCCACAAGGAACCCAUGUAAGUCAUCAAGUGAGCCAUAUUUCCUUUUUUAAUUUAAAAUGUUUCAUUAUCUAGAGGAAGAAUGGAUAUAUGUUAUUAAUAUCUGACUACUACAUAUAUGAAGAAGGGCUUUUAUUAAUAACUACCAGGAGAAAGGCACGCUCAUGCUUGGCUUCACCUCACCACCGCAGAGGAAAGCUCACGUCUUUCAUCGAGAAUGGCAAUAUAUUCUUUCAGCUUACUAUUUUACAUCCUCUCUGAGGCUUUUAACCACUGGACUGAAUCCUGAACAAAGGAAUCGGAUGUCCAGAACGAAAGGCACAGGGGAGCAGCAGCUAUUUAUCCACUCUUUGCAAUAUUCUUCUGACAGUGUGAAGCGUAGCAGCCGCUGCCAGCGCCCACCGCCGCUCAAUAUUGAACGCGGAAAGGACCUUUCCAUCAGACAUCUCCGAGGAUCCUCCUAUUAGCAAGACUUAAGGAGGCCUUUGUCAUCUCAAAUAUGCUCAGCUGCUCACUGCACGGCGAAGCAGUGUAAGAACCAUUUAAAGAUGUGUCUGACAUCAUUAAUCUAUUUGCCCUCUGACCUGCGGAGCUGAACUGUAACUAUGGCGACUAAAGCUUGACCUUACUACGCUGAGAAACUUUAAAGCUCAGUAGUAUUUUGGGUCACAUUGUUAGGAUGAACAAAGGAAUAAAGAAGAAAUGUGACAGUUUCCUGGGAAUUAAGGUCAGCAGGUCAAUUGCCCUAAAACUUUGUUGUUAUAUGAUAAGCAAGACUAGGUGAAAUAAUUUUUCAGCAAUUAGAAUUUUAAAAACACCCAAACAACAAAAUCUAGAGGUUUUUGUUGUCUGAAGCA
This is a long non-coding RNA of Taeniopygia guttata (zebra finch), 6699 nucleotides long. The record is from Ensembl. Lineage: Eukaryota; Metazoa; Chordata; Aves; Passeriformes; Estrildidae.